GAUGAACGCUAGCUACAGGCUUAACACAUGCAAGUCGAGGGGAAACGGCAUUUUAGCUUGCUUCCGAUAGGCGUCGACCGGCGCACGGGUGAGUAACGCGUAUCCAACCUGCCCAUCACUUGGGAAUAACCUUGCGAAAGUAAGACUAAUGCCCAAUGAUAUUUAUAGAAGGCAUCCGAAAUGAAUUAAAGAUUUAUCGGUGAUGGAUGGGGAUGCGUCUGAUUAGCUUGUUGGCGGGGUAACGGCCCACCAAGGCGACGAUCAGUAGGGGUUCUGAGAGGAAGGUCCCCCACAUUGGAACUGAGACACGGUCCAAACUCCUACGGGAGGCAGCAGUGGGGAAUAUUGGGCAAUGGACGCAAGUCUGACCCAGCAACGCCGCGUGAAGGAAGAAGGCUUUCGGGUUGUAAACUUCUUUGACAGGGGAAGAGCAGAAGACGGUACCCUGAAAACAAGCCACGGCUAACUACGUG
This 473-nucleotide ribosomal RNA is filed under the name uncultured bacterium. Its description in RNAcentral is "bacterial SSU rRNA". It matches the Rfam family "Bacterial small subunit ribosomal RNA", at positions 28 to 507 of the family's 1533-position model. The record is from RNAcentral.